RNAcentral lists this ribosomal RNA (492 nucleotides) under uncultured bacterium. Its description in RNAcentral is "partial 16S ribosomal RNA". It matches the Rfam family "Bacterial small subunit ribosomal RNA", at positions 29 to 507 of the family's 1533-position model. The record is from RNAcentral.
AGUGAACGCUGGCGGUAGGCCUAACACAUGCAAGUCGAACGGCAGCACAGUAAGAGCUUGCUCUUACGGGUGGCGAGUGGCGGACGGGUGAGGAAUACAUCGGAAUCUACUUUUUCGUGGGGGAUAACGUAGGGAAACUUACGCUAAUACCGCAUACGACCUACGGGUGAAAGCAGGGGAUCUUCGGACCUUGCGCGAUUGAAUGAGCCGAUGUCGGAUUAGCUAGUUGGCGGGGUAAAGGCCCACCAAGGCGACGAUCCGUAGCUGGUCUGAGAGGAUGAUCAGCCACACUGGAACCGAGACACGGUCCAGACUCCUACGGGAGGCAGCAGUGGGGAAUAUUGGACAAUGGGCGCAAGCCUGAUCCAGCCAUACCGCGUGGGUGAAGAAGGCCUUCGGGUUGUAAAGCCCUUUUGUUGGGAAAGAAAAGCAGCAGGUUAAUACCCCGCUGUCCUGACGGUACCCAAAGAAUAAGCACCGGCUAACUUCGUG